Molecule: ribosomal RNA, 92 nt
Filed under: Amphilophus citrinellus (Midas cichlid)
Lineage: Eukaryota; Metazoa; Chordata; Actinopteri; Cichliformes; Cichlidae
Source: RNAcentral
GCCAUGCCACCCUGAACACACCCAAUCUUAGAAAGUAAGUAGGAUUGAACCUGGUUAGGCCAUGGAUGGGAGACUGUGGGAAUACCAGGUGC